UCAACACCUCCAUCUGCUCCUUCUGCUUCUCGCGCUUCUUGAUCAGAUGCAUGGCCCGGCCGGCCUCCCGCAUGGUGCCCUUGUACUGCGCCAUGCCUGCAGCUCAGCACAGCCCCUACGGUCUGUCCAGUCCCUGUCCCUGGUAGCCUUCAGGGUCUGAUGUCAGAUUCUACAGCUAGGAACAAACAAACAAAACCGUUGAGAAUCAACGGGCACAGCAGUGUAGUUAAUGAUCUACACCAGCGCCUUCCGAUAGAACUUCUUUUGGUUGAAUGAUUCUGUCUCCGAGGUGAUCCAGUGUGGUAACUACCGACCACAUAAGGCCCUUGAGUACAUGAAAUACAACUGCUAUUACCAAGGGAUUAGUGUUACUUCAAAUUGAGGUAGCCUUGUGUGACUACUGUACAGGAUGGGUUUUGAGGCGCUGCAUUGAAGGUUGAUCUACAGAGCAGCUGCCCAAGCAUGGCCUUGCAAGAGCAGAGCACAAGAAAGCCUGGGCCUGGGCUGGUGAGAACCGGCCAUAGGAAAACGGCGGUCAAGAGAAGAGCUGUCUCCUGAUGAGGAAGGUUGUCCAUGAAGGAUAACACCUGUCCUUUUUGAACCCCUCCUCCUGCAGGACAGAAGCAAGGAAAGGAAAUGAGUUCUUGGGAGCUUUCCCUACAUGUACCUACCUGGAAAAUGAUGCUAGCUUAAGGUCCCAUUAAUGUUCUAGUCAUGGACCGUCCCAACAUCCCUACCACAGUCUUCGGAAUGAUUUCUGCAUGGAAUGUUAGUUGGACUCACCCUGUGUGGGUGCUAAAGUACACAGAAGCCCUGAAGACGGAACUCUCCCUCCCUUGCAGUGAGAAAGAAGACAUCAGAGGAAGUGCACGCAGCAGAGGCAGGCUAUUUCCCUUUGGAGUCUGAGGUUCCCUGUAAGAAGACCAGAUCCAGCAGCUACGUCCUACACUGCAAUCACAGCCUUGACAAACAGCCAAGUACCCCAGACAUGAGCAAGCCUCUGAUAGUUGUUAAGGCAUUAUUUUGGGAGGAGCAGUUGUAUUUUUUGUUAUGGGUGAUGAGACAUGUAAUUGAAACUAAGCGCUCUAAGGGUGGGGCACCUGGGAGGGCAAUCCUAGUGUGGUGGUUCUUCUCCAUGUGGCAUGGAGUGGUGUGCCUCUGCUGUAGCAGCAUUUGCAGUGUCUCUUGCCACACCAAAUCCGGUAGAUUCUGUGUGACAAGUUCCACAGACUGAGGUGAUAACUUCAAAAGAAGGAGGUCCUCUGGAAACGGUUGUGGAACUCUCGGCCGGAGAAAAGUAUUGAGCUGUAGUUCUCAUGGCAAUCUCUGUUCUAUUCUUUUCUGAUAUUAACGAAAUGUUCCUGAAAGCUUAUGCUGACAUUUUAAACAAAAGAAAUAAAUGAGAAACCGUCCCCUGAGAUAUGGUCACUGACCAUGACCUCGUCUCCAGGAAAACCAGUGCUUUUUAAAUCAUUCACGCCAUUCAUAUAAGUAAAUAGUAAUAGUAUUAAUAAAAAUUUCCCAACAAUAAAAUUUCAUAUAGCUGUGCAUGUGUGAUCAAGAAUGGUUUUAAUGUUUGGUAAAGAAACCUUUUUGAUAAGAAAAAAAGUUAAAAUUGCUCCAUUUCAAAGACUCACAGGAACUAGGCAACAGAGUCAAACAAUUGUGACUAGGUAACAGAUGUCAAACAAUAACUAACCACAAAAAUGUAUUAACCUGAUCUUAGAAAUAGGUGGUUAGCUACGGUUAGCCUUGAAUGAUUUUUUAAUUUAUCAUUUUAUUAGCCUUGGAAAAGUUGUGUGUUACAAUGCCUAGUAACGAUGAUGUCAUUUGUCUGCUUUACUGAACACAGACUCUGAGAUGGUAUGCUUUAUUCUGGAUAAAAAGCCUUGCUAAAAAGCUACAAAAUACAUUCAGAUUCAAAUUG
Mesocricetus auratus (golden hamster) is the source of this 1927-nucleotide long non-coding RNA. RefSeq lists it as uncharacterized. The record is from RefSeq and is a predicted model, not a curated record. Lineage: Eukaryota; Metazoa; Chordata; Mammalia; Rodentia; Cricetidae. The transcript has 2 exons.